RNAcentral lists this ribosomal RNA (253 nucleotides) under uncultured bacterium. Its description in RNAcentral is "partial 16S ribosomal RNA". It matches the Rfam family "Bacterial small subunit ribosomal RNA", at positions 524 to 776 of the family's 1533-position model. The record is from RNAcentral.
UACGGAGGGGGCGAGCGUUGUUCGGAAUCACUGGGCGUAAAGCGUGCGUAGGCGGUUAUACAAGUCAGGAGUGAAAUCCCAGGGCUCAACCUUGGAAUUGCUUUUGAGACUGUAUGACUAGAGAUCUAGAGAGGUUGGGGGAAUUCCGAGUGUAGAGGUGAAAUUCGCAGAUAUUCGGAGGAACACCAGUGGCGUAGGCGCCCAACUGGCUAGAUACUGACGCUGAGGCACGAAAGCGUGGGGAGCAAACAGG